AUUGAACGCUGGCGGCAUGCCUUACACAUGCAAGUCGAACGGCAGCGGGGGCUUCGGUCCGCCGGCGAGUGGCGAACGGGUGAGUAAUAUAUCGGAACGUACCUUUCAGUGGGGGAUAACGUAGCGAAAGUUACGCUAAUACCGCAUAUUCUGUGAGCAGGAAAGCAGGGGAUCGCAAGACCUUGCGCUGAUUGAGCGGCCGAUAUCAGAUUAGCUAGUUGGUGAGGUAAAGGCUCACCAAGGCGACGAUCUGUAGCGGGUCUGAGAGGAUGAUCCGCCACACUGGAACUGAGACACGGCCCAGACUCCUACGGGAGGCAGCAGUGGGGAAUUUUGGACAAUGGGGGCAACCCUGAUCCAGCCAUGCCGCGUGAGUGAAGAAGGCCUUCGGGUUGUAAAGCUCUUUCAGUACGGAAAGAAACGCAUCGGUGAAUACCCGGUGUGGAUGACGGUACCGUAAGAAGAAGCACCGGCUAACUACGUGCCAGCAGCCGG
This 495-nucleotide ribosomal RNA is filed under the name uncultured bacterium. Its description in RNAcentral is "bacterial SSU rRNA". It matches the Rfam family "Bacterial small subunit ribosomal RNA", at positions 30 to 518 of the family's 1533-position model. The record is from RNAcentral.